Piliocolobus tephrosceles (Ugandan red Colobus) is the source of this 695-nucleotide long non-coding RNA. RefSeq lists it as uncharacterized. Lineage: Eukaryota; Metazoa; Chordata; Mammalia; Primates; Cercopithecidae. The record is from RefSeq and is a predicted model, not a curated record. The transcript has 5 exons.
CUGUGGCCUUGAGGGGGCGGCCCCGCUGCGUCCUGAGCACGCGGCCCGCCCGGGUGGCCCGAGCCUCGGCGGUCCCCAUCCCUCUGCUGCGAGUGCGCGGAGCCCGGAGCGCCCGGGAGCCUGCAGGGCCGCCUCUUUCCAAGCUGCGCUUCCAGGGACUUCGCGUUUGUGCCGGGCGGGCUGCGGUUGGAGGAAAGGUGCCCACACGGCAGUUCCGGGGUCCGGCCCCUUCUUCCGGGAGGGUUUCUCCGCCAAAGCCGCGCGGCGCUUCUUUUCCCUCUUGGCACAGAAGUGAGGAAGAGCAGCUGAGCCGGUCUCGGGUCUCCCGGCUCCGGCAGUCUGAGGACCCGAGAUGCGCCAGCCAGAGGCGGGGUCUCACUAUGUUUCCCAGGCUGACCUUGAAGCGAUCCUAACACUUCGGCCUCCCAAAGUGCUGGGAUUAUAGGCGUGAGCCACGUGCAGGACCUGGACCAAGUCUUGAUUCUGUCUGGAUGCCCCCAACUGAAACAUCAGGAUGCCCCCCGGGGGUCCAUGGGGCCGGCAAACACAUCAGCCUCUGGAAGUGGACACCCAGAAAUGUGAUGAAAACUCAUGAAAUGGUUCAAAGAAGAUUCCACAUCAGGGCCAAUAGCAGUGUUCUGGGGGGGACGGUCUUGCUCUGUUGCCCAGGCUGGAAUGCAGUGGCAUGAUCAUAG